GACGAACGCUGGCGGCGUGCUUAACACAUGCAAGUCGAACGGAAAGGCCCUGCUUUUGUGGGGUGCUCGAGUGGCGAACGGGUGAGUAACACGUGAGUAACCUGCCCUUGACUUUGGGAUAACUUCAGGAAACUGGGGCUAAUACCGGAUAGGAGCUCCUGCUGCAUGGUGGGGGUUGGAAAGUUUCGGCGGUUGGGGAUGGACUCGCGGCUUAUCAGCUUGUUGGUGGGGUAGUGGCUUACCAAGGCUUUGACGGGUAGCCGGCCUGAGAGGGUGACCGGCCGCAAUGGGACUGAGAUACGGCCCAGACUCCUACGGGAGGCAGCAGUGGGGAAUAUUGCACAAUGGGCGGAAGCCUGAUGCAGCAACGCCGCGUGCGGGAUGACGGCCUUCGGGUUGUAAACCGCUUUCGCCUGUGACGAAGCGUGAGUGACGGUAAUGGGUAAAGAAGCACCGGCUAGCUACGUG
Molecule: ribosomal RNA, 468 nt
Filed under: uncultured bacterium
Lineage: Bacteria
Description: partial 16S ribosomal RNA
Rfam family: Bacterial small subunit ribosomal RNA
Source: RNAcentral